GACUGCAAAUAUAAUCCGAUCACCCGACCUGACCCGAAGUUUCUGAAUUUACCGACCUGAAUUGAAACGGGCAAGCAUCGGAAGCCUUCUGUUUGGGUUUCGAAAUUAUUCGGUUAAUGCCCGAAUUUGAUGAUCAAAACGGCACCGUUUUACAUAUACUCUAAUUUCCUCUGGGUGCUCUCCCUCCCUCGCUUAGGCUCAGACACUCAACCCUCUCGCUCUCUCUCACUCUUAUUACUGUCCUCUCAGUCCUCUCCCUCGCUCAGACUCGCUCUCUGUUUGCAUCUUGGCCUCUUGCUUUCUCAAUCUCUCGCUUUGACCGAAGGUGUGGAUGAUGUAAACCGUUAGUGUUCUUGAGUUUGAAUCGAUCUUGGUUAUUUUUCUGUAAAUAUCAUGCGAGACCACAACAGCUGGCCCCCCUUUUUUUAUGUGUGAAAAUAAAAAAGGUUUAUGAUGAGAUGAGCUUAACAAAUGAUGUGAUGAGGCCAUCACACUUGGACGUUUGCAACAGAAGUAGGAAUAGGAUAAUGUCAAGGAGAAAAAACUGGAAAUUUUUGUUUGGAAGUUAGGCAUAGUGCAAGAUUUUGUUCUCUCUUGCAAUUUAAGACAAAUUGUUAAAUAGAAUAACCUACUUCAGCUUUCUUGACUAUUUUCAA
Molecule: long non-coding RNA, 656 nt
Organism: Carya illinoinensis
Lineage: Eukaryota; Viridiplantae; Streptophyta; Magnoliopsida; Fagales; Juglandaceae
Exons: 2
Source: RefSeq, a predicted model, not a curated record